CCUCUCUCUCUCUCGUCCCCGUCCUCCUCCCCCACUCCCCACGAUCUCCCCUUCCCAGCCCCGCCGCCCCAUCUCCCUCGCAGCGCCGCCGCACGACCCACCCUGCCCCGCUGCACUGCCUUAUCUCCCUUGACCCUCCUGCCCCUGCAUCGGCCAGCCACCAGAUCUCCUCGUCACCGUCCUGCCGCCGCCCACCUCCCACCAACUUGUCGCAAACUACCGCCGCCCUACAGAUCCGGCGAGGAUCCGGCGUAUCUCACCUCCACCAGCUCGGCGCUGCCCCCUCCUGGUCCUAUCGAGCCCACCACCGACGACCUCGACUUCCAUCGAGGGCUCUGCCGUCGGGAGAUCCGGGCAUUCCCGCCCCCUGCACCCUGCUUUCCCUCCCCGGCGGCACCCCCACGCAUGCCCCUCCUCCCCCAUGGAUCUUUGUCGCCACCGACGCCCUGCUCCUUCAGGGGCCCGUCCCGGCCAUCCUCGCACGCUUACCUCCGCCUGGAGGAUAACAAGGUAGGUGCGGGGGGUCAGCGAGCGCGUCCACGAGGAGGAGCCACAGGCGCGCGUGGUGGCAGUAGAAUCAUCUGAAGUUCGGUGUGUGUAUCCUAAAUUCUGCCAAUGCAGUGCGGUUCGCCCCGCUCCUCGAUGGGGUUCGGUUGUCUCGAUGCUGCGAUGCGCUGGAGGUCGGCGGCCAACAGCGGCGUGUAGUACAGACAACGGCGGCGUGUAGUUUGUCUUGGAGUUUCGUUGCAUUUUUUGCAGUACCCUGGUCGUGUAGCGUAGACACUAAGCACCCUCGAUGCAGUCCGCGGCGCAUCCUUGCAGCACGGUGUGUGCGUGUGUGCAGUCCCUGGUGUGUUGGUCGCCGGUGGCCGAAGUGCAGUCCGCCUCCUCUUCAGUGCACGCAGUGAGAAAGAGAAGAGAACAUCAAUGUUCAAUUAAAGUUUGUUUUUUUGUUUAUGGGAAAUGCAGAGAGAAAGGAGUAGCAAGUCUUUGCCUAGUGCAGCUCAUCAUUGAUUCUGCUAUGUACUAGGUGGCUGUGUAAAAAUAAUGAAUGGAUAUGUAUGUUUUUAAGCUCA
This is a non-coding RNA of Triticum urartu, 1076 nucleotides long. The record is from RefSeq and is a predicted model, not a curated record. Lineage: Eukaryota; Viridiplantae; Streptophyta; Magnoliopsida; Poales; Poaceae.